GCUCAAAUUUGAAAUCUUCAAGGUUUUACCUUGACGAAUUGUAGUUUAAAGAAGUGUUUUCUGUUGGUGCUUUGGUAAAAGUUCUUUGGAAUAGGACAUCAUAGAGGGUGAGAAUCCCGUAUUUGACCAUUACUUCCAGCGUUGUGAUACACUUUCAAAGAGUCGGAUUGUUUGGGAAUGCAGUCCAAAAUGGGUGGUAAAUUUCAUCUAAAGCUAAAUAUUGGCGAGAGACCGAUAGCGAACAAGUACCGUGAGGGAAAGAUGAAAAGAACUUUGAAAAGAGAGUUAAACAGUACGUGAAAUUGUCAAAAGGGAAGCGUUUGACACCAGUGUUGUUUUCUCGAAAAUCAAUUAAAAAAAGUUGGAUUUUGUAUUGUUAAGACCUUAUCAGCUUACUGUACUCUUUUCUUGCUUUUUUUAAUGCACUUUUCAUUUAACAAG
This 441-nucleotide ribosomal RNA is filed under the name uncultured Neocallimastigomycetes. RNAcentral describes it as "LSU rRNA". It matches the Rfam family "Eukaryotic large subunit ribosomal RNA", at positions 107 to 542 of the family's 3401-position model. The record is from RNAcentral. Lineage: Eukaryota; Fungi; Neocallimastigomycota; Neocallimastigomycetes.